This 486-nucleotide ribosomal RNA is filed under the name uncultured bacterium. Its description in RNAcentral is "partial 16S ribosomal RNA". It matches the Rfam family "Bacterial small subunit ribosomal RNA", at positions 28 to 507 of the family's 1533-position model. The record is from RNAcentral.
GACGAGCGCUGGCGGCGUGCUUAACACAUGCAAGUCGAACGCUGAAGACCUGGCUUUUGUUGGGUUGGCUGAGUGGCGAACGGGUGAGUAACACGUGAGUAACCUGCCCUCUUCUUUGGGAUAACGCCCGGAAACGGGUGCUAAUACUGGAUAUUCACUGAUCUUCGCAUGGGGGUUGGUGGAAAGGUUUGUUCUGGUGGGGGAUGGGCUCGCGGCCUAUCAGCUUGUUGGUGGGGUGAUGGCCUACCAAGGCUUUGACGGGUAGCCGGCCUGAGAGGGUGACCGGGCACUUUGGGACUGAGCUACGGCCCAGGCGCCUACGGGAGGCAGCAGUGGGGAAUAGUGCACAAUGGGCGAAAGCCUGAUGCAGCGACGCCGCGUGAGGGAUGGAGGCCUUCGGGUUGGAAACCUCUUUCGCUCAUGGUCAGGCCGCAACUGUGGGUUGUGGUGAGGGUAGUGGGUAAAGAAGCGCCGGCUAACUACGUG